GGAGGCCGAGUGGCGUCUCACUGGUUCCAAGGCAACGGGUCGCCUGUGUCACGACGUCUACGGCGGGCGCCGAGAGCCAAGCUUCCUGAGCCUGAAUGAGCCUGGAAGAGAACCCCAAGCCACAGAUGCAAUCUGAAUGGGAUAAUUAGAUCAUCCCACUGACACUUUGAUUUCAGGUGAGAUCCUAAGCAAUGAAGUCAGCCCAGACUCCUGACUGAUGGAAACUGUGAGAUAAUAAAUUUGUAUUGUUUUAA
Molecule: long non-coding RNA, 254 nt
Organism: Hyaena hyaena (striped hyena)
Lineage: Eukaryota; Metazoa; Chordata; Mammalia; Carnivora; Hyaenidae
Exons: 2
Source: RefSeq, a predicted model, not a curated record